UACGGAGGAUGCGAGCGUUAUCCGGAUUUAUUGGGUUUAAAGGGUGCGCAGGCGGCGUGUCAAGUCAGCGGUAAAAUGUCGGGGCUCAACCCCGGCCGGCCGUUGGAACUGGCGUGCUCGAGUUGGAGAGAAGUAUGCGGAAUUCGUGGUGUAGCGGUGAAAUGCAUAGAUAUCACGAAGAACCCCGAUUGCGAAGGCAGCAUACCGGCUCCACACUGACGCUGAGGCACGAAAGCGUGGGUAUCGAACAGG
RNAcentral lists this ribosomal RNA (252 nucleotides) under uncultured bacterium. RNAcentral's name for it is "partial 16S ribosomal RNA". It matches the Rfam family "Bacterial small subunit ribosomal RNA", at positions 524 to 776 of the family's 1533-position model. The record is from RNAcentral.